GAUGAACGCUGGCGGCGCGCCUAACACAUGCAAGUCGAACGGCACCUGCCUUCGGGCAGAAGCGAGUGGCGAACGGCUGAGUAACACGUGGAGAACCUGCCCCCUCCCCCGGGAUAGCCGCCCGAAAGGACGGGUAAUACCGGAUACCCCGGGGUGCCGCAUGGCACCCCGGCUAAAGCCCCGACGGGAGGGGAUGGCUCCGCGGCCCAUCAGGUAGACGGCGGGGUGACGGCCCACCGUGCCGACAACGGGUAGCCGGGUUGAGAGACCGACCGGCCAGAUUGGGACUGAGACACGGCCCAGACUCCUACGGGAGGCAGCAGUGGGGAAUCUUGCGCAAUGGGGGGAACCCUGACGCAGCGACGCCGCGUGCGGGACGGAGGCCUUCGGGUCGUAAACCGCUUUCAGCAGGGAAGAGUCAAGACUGUACCUGCAGAAGAAGCCCCGG
Molecule: ribosomal RNA, 448 nt
Filed under: uncultured bacterium
Lineage: Bacteria
Description: bacterial SSU rRNA
Rfam family: Bacterial small subunit ribosomal RNA
Source: RNAcentral